This 504-nucleotide ribosomal RNA is filed under the name uncultured bacterium. RNAcentral describes it as "bacterial SSU rRNA". It matches the Rfam family "Bacterial small subunit ribosomal RNA", at positions 28 to 517 of the family's 1533-position model. The record is from RNAcentral.
GAUGAACGCUAGCUACAGGCUUAACACAUGCAAGUCGAGGGGAAACGAUAUUGGAAGCUUGCUUCCGAUAGGCGUCGACCGGCGCACGGGUGAGUAACGCGUAUCCAACCUGCCCAUCACUUGGGGAUAACCUUGCGAAAGUAAGACUAAUACCCAAUGACGUCUCUAGAAGACAUCUGAAGGAGAUUAAAGAUUUAUCGGUGAUGGAUGGGGAUGCGUCUGAUUAGCUUGUUGGCGGGGUAACGGCCCACCAAGGCGACGAUCAGUAGGGGUUCUGAGAGGAAGGUCCCCCCACAUUGGAACUGAGACACGGUCCAAACUCCUACGGGAGGCAGCAGUGAGGAAUAUUGGUCAAUGGGGCGAGAGCCUGAACCAGCCAAGUAGCGUGCAGGAUGACGGCCCUAUGGGUUGUAAACUGCUUUUAUAAGGGAAUAAAGUGGGAGUCGUGACUCUUUUUGCAUGUACCUUAUGAAUAAGGACCGGCUAAUUCCGUGCCAGCAGCCG